UGGGGAAUAUUGCACAAUGGGGGGAAACCCUGAUGCAGCGACGCCGCGUGAAGGAAGAAGUAUCUCGGUAUGUAAACUUCUAUCAGCAGGGAAGAUAGUGACGGUACCUGACUAAGAAGCCCCGGCUAACUACGUGCCAGCAGCCGCGGUAAUACGUAGGGGGCAAGCGUUAUCCGGAUUUACUGGGUGUAAAGGGAGCGUAGACGGCAUGGCAAGUCUGAAGUGAAAUGCGGGGGGCUCAACCCCUGAACUGCUUUGGAAACUGUCAGGCUGGAGUGCAGGAGAGGUAAGUGGAAUUCCUAGUGUAGCGGUGAAAUGCGUAGAUAUUAGGAGGAACACCAGUGGCGAAGGCGACUUACUGGACUGUAACUGACGUUGAGGCACGAAAGUGUGGGGAGCAAACAGGAUUAGAUACCCUGGUAGU
RNAcentral lists this ribosomal RNA (424 nucleotides) under uncultured Robinsoniella sp. RNAcentral describes it as "bacterial SSU rRNA". It matches the Rfam family "Bacterial small subunit ribosomal RNA", at positions 355 to 794 of the family's 1533-position model. Lineage: Bacteria; Bacillati; Bacillota; Clostridia; Lachnospirales; Lachnospiraceae. The record is from RNAcentral.